RNAcentral lists this ribosomal RNA (253 nucleotides) under uncultured bacterium. RNAcentral describes it as "partial 16S ribosomal RNA". It matches the Rfam family "Bacterial small subunit ribosomal RNA", at positions 524 to 776 of the family's 1533-position model. The record is from RNAcentral.
GACGUAGGGCGCGAGCGUUGUCCGGAUUUAUUGGGCGUAAAGAGCUCGUAGGCGGCUCGUUGCGUCGGCUGUGAAAACCCGCAGCUCAACUGUGGGCCUGCAGCUGAUACGGGCGGGCUGGAGUUCGGUAGGAGAGACUGGAAUUCCUGGUGUAGCGGUGAAAUGCGCAGAUAUCAGGAGGAACACCGGUGGCGAAGGCGGGUCUCUGGGCCGAUACUGACGCUGAGGAGCGAAAGCGUGGGGAGCGAACAGG